CAGUUUUCCUGAAAGAAGAAAAGGAACCUAGAGAGUGAGGAACAGAACAGCUGUUUUCAUCUGAAACCAGGUUCUCAGGUAAAGGAACUCUAAGAACUAAGAGAACUGACAAUCAGAAAACAAAUAUUCACAUAGUAGACUUAUAAAGACUAAUGGGGAGGAAAGUAAGAAAAAUAAAGGAUAUGGAGAGAACAACAUUCAACUGGCAAUACCAUUCCUCUGCGCCUUUGAUUGAACUGAUCCAGUCAUCAUGAAUCAAGCAUUGCUCUGGCUGUGGUGCGCUGUACUUCUCCACAUAUUCAAGUUCCACAACCUCUUCCUAGUACAGAGAAAAACCAGAAAUAAGUCCAGUGAUACAGAUAA
Molecule: long non-coding RNA, 363 nt
Organism: Erinaceus europaeus (western European hedgehog)
Lineage: Eukaryota; Metazoa; Chordata; Mammalia; Eulipotyphla; Erinaceidae
Exons: 3
Source: RefSeq, a predicted model, not a curated record